AGUGGGGAAUAUUGCACAAUGGGGGAAACCCUGAUGCAGCGACGCCGCGUGAGUGAAGAAGUAUUUCGGUACGUAAAGCUCUAUCAGCAAGGAAGAAAAUGACGGUACUUGACUAAGAAGCCCCGGCUAACUACGUGCCAGCAGCCGCGGUAAUACGUAGGGGGCAAGCGUUAUCCGGAUUUACUGGGUGUAAAGGGAGCGUAGACGGUAUGGUAAGUCAGAUGUGAAAGCCCGGGGCUCAACCCCGGGACUGCAUUUGAAACUAUCAGACUAGAGUGCAGGAGAGGUAAGUGGAAUUCCUAGUGUAGCGGUGAAAUGCGUAGAUAUUAGGAGGAACACCAGUGGCGAAGGCGGCUUACUGGACUGUAACUGACGUUGAGGCUCGAAAGCGUGGGGAGCAAA
Molecule: ribosomal RNA, 402 nt
Filed under: uncultured Lachnospiraceae bacterium
Lineage: Bacteria; Bacillati; Bacillota; Clostridia; Lachnospirales; Lachnospiraceae
Description: bacterial SSU rRNA
Rfam family: Bacterial small subunit ribosomal RNA
Source: RNAcentral